AGUGAACGCUGGCGGUAGGCCUAACACAUGCAAGUCGAACGGCAGCACAGUAAGAGCUUGCUCUUACGGGUGGCGAGUGGCGGACGGGUGAGGAAUACAUCGGAAUCUACUUUUUCGUGGGGGAUAACGUAGGGAAACUUACGCUAAUACCGCAUACGACCUACGGGUGAAAGCAGGGGAUCUUCGGACCUUGCGCGAUUGAAUGAGCCGAUGUCGGAUUAGCUAGUUGGCGGGGUAAAGGCCCACCAAGGGGACGAUCCGUAGCUGGUCUGAGAGGAUGAUCAGCCACACUGGAACUGAGACACGGUCCAGACUCCUACGGGAGGGAGCAGUGGGGAAUAUUGGGCAAUGGGCGCAAGCCUGAUCCAGCCAUACCGCGUGGGUGAAGAAGGCCUUCGGGUUGUAAAGCCCUUUUGUUGUGAAAGAAAAGCAGCAGGUUAAUACCCCGCUGUUCUGACGGUACCCAAAGAAUAAGCACCGGCUAACUUCGUG
Molecule: ribosomal RNA, 492 nt
Filed under: uncultured bacterium
Lineage: Bacteria
Description: partial 16S ribosomal RNA
Rfam family: Bacterial small subunit ribosomal RNA
Source: RNAcentral